CAUGCAAGUCGAACGAAGCUUGACGGAUGAUUUCUUCGGAAUGAAACCAGAUAUGACUUAGUGGCGGACGGGUGAGUAACACGUGAGCAACCUGCCUUUCAGAGGGGGAUAACGGCUGGAAACGGUCGCUAAUACCGCAUGAUGUGUUCGGAUGGCAUCAUCUGAACAUCAAAGAUUUAUCGCUGAAAGAUGGGCUCGCGUCUGAUUAGAUAGUUGGUGGGGUAACGGCCUACCAAGUCUACGAUCAGUAGCCGGACUGAGAGGUUGAACGGCCACAUUGGGACUGAGAUACGGCCCAGACUCCUACGGGAGGCAGCAGUGGGGAAUAUUGCACAAUGGGGGAAACCCUGAUGCAGCAACGCCGCGUGAAGGAUGACGGUUUUCGGAUUGUAAACUUCUUUUCUUAGUGACGAAGACAGUGACGGUAGCUAAGGAAUAAGCAUCGGCUAACUACGUGCCAGCAGCCGCGGUAAUACGUAGGAUGCAAGCGUUAUCCGGAUUUACUGGGUGUAAAGGGAGCGCAGGCGGGACUGCAAGUUGGAUGUGAAAUACCGUGGCUUAACCACGGAACUGCAUCCAAAACUGUAGUUCUUGAGUGAAGUAGAGGCAAGCGGAAUUCCGAGUGUAGCGGUGAAAUGCGUAGAUAUUCGGAGGAACACCAGUGGCGAAGGCGGCUUGCUGGGCUUUAACUGACGCUGAGGCUCGAAAGUGUGGGGAGCAAACAGGAUUAGAUACCCUGGUAGUCCACACUGUAAACGAUGAUAGCUAGGUGUGGGGGGUCUGACCCCUUCCGUGCCGGAGUUAACGCAAUAAGCUAUCCACCUGGGGAGUACGACCGCAAGGUUGAAACUCAAAGGAAUUGACGGGGGCCCGCACAAGCAGUGGAUUAUGUGGUUUAAUU
RNAcentral lists this ribosomal RNA (901 nucleotides) under uncultured bacterium. RNAcentral's name for it is "bacterial SSU rRNA". It matches the Rfam family "Bacterial small subunit ribosomal RNA", at positions 54 to 951 of the family's 1533-position model. The record is from RNAcentral.